AUGUUUUUCUUAGGGGUCUUGCAACCAGCAGGAGGAGCAGCAGAAAAGGAAGACACUGAUUCUUCCCUGGAUUCUGAGACUGAUCCUAAAAGUCAAGGGAGAGUGUGGACCAGUGUGUGGCUUCCUGCUGCAAAAGGCAACAGGUUGGAUGCGCGCUCUGCCAAAGUGGAAUGUGGCAAAGGGGUCUUGAAACAAGCAUGUAGAGAAGGGAUGAAGGAAGAUGGAGUCUUGCAGCCAGCAGGGGGAGAAGCAAAAGACGAAGACAACGAUUCUCCCUGGGAUUCUGAGACUGAUUCUGAAGGUGAAGGGAAAAUGUCAGCUGCUGUCCAGCUUCCCACUGCAAACAGCAACAGUGAAGUGUCAGCUGCUGUCCAGCCUCCUGCUGCAAAGAGCAACAAGUUGUAUGCUGGCUCUGCUGCAGUGGAAUGUGGCAAAGGGGUCUUGAAACAAGCAUGUAGAGAAGAGAUGAAGGAAGAUGGAGUCUUGCAGCCAGCAGGGGGAGAAGCAAAAGAUGAAGACAACGAUUCUCCCUGGGAUUCUGAGACUGAUUCUGAAGGUGAAGGGAAAAUGUCAGCUGCUGUCCAGCUUCCCACUGCAAACAGCAACAGGUUGUAUGUUGGCUCUGCUGCCGUGGAAUGUGGCAAAGGGGUCUUGAAACAAGCAUAUAGAGAAGGGAUGAAGGAAGAUGGAGUCAUGCAGUCAGCAGGGGGAACAGCAAAAGACGAAGACAACGAUUCUCCCUGGGAUCCUGAGCUUCCUGCAUUACACGAAGACGAUCUUCGGCUAAAGGUUGAUUCUUCAACUCAAACAGCUUCUGAACAGGACAAACAGCUUCCUGCAUUACACGGAGACGAUCUUCAGCUAAAGGUUGAUUCUUCAACUCAAACAGCUUCUGAACAGUACAAACAGGUGACUCUUAGAGACAGGUGCAAAUAUCCCUAA
RNAcentral lists this long non-coding RNA (942 nucleotides) under Ficedula albicollis (Collared flycatcher). RNAcentral's name for it is "lncRNA (ENSFALG00000028937.1)". Lineage: Eukaryota; Metazoa; Chordata; Aves; Passeriformes; Muscicapidae. The record is from RNAcentral.